This is a non-coding RNA of Paramuricea clavata, 1240 nucleotides long. The record is from the annotation of a GenBank genome assembly. Lineage: Eukaryota; Metazoa; Cnidaria; Anthozoa; Malacalcyonacea; Plexauridae.
AUCAUUUUGAUGGUUAUCGGUCAGAGGAAAGAUAUUGAAAACUUGUAUGAAAUAUCUCGGGUACAAAAGAGCAUUUCAAGAUUCAGCACUAAAAGCUGCAAUCAGUCUGCCAAGGUUUUUUGCUAUAAGUCUACUGCAAGUGCAUGAAAGCCUUGGCAGACAUUUUGUCCACAAUAUGUGGAUCAAUAUGAAAUAACAUAUUUCAAAUAAUAUACAGGUUGGAAUUCGCAUGAGGGAAAUCAGACACAUGAGUGUAAAGAUCCAUCUGUAUAUUAGACUGCUUACAUUUUCCAACUUUGUAAGCAACUCGAAGAAUAACAUGGCGUGUUACAGGACCACCUGUGAGCACGAAGGUGCAGUUACGUUGAACAUCAGUUCAAGCCAGCUUAACUUCACAAAGUACUAACUUUAAAAGUUAAAACACUUGCAGUAAACAGUUACGUCUAGAUGUUCCUGGAAAAACUAAACUAAACUUCUGUCUAAAACUUCAGGUCGGGCAACUAAAAAUAUUUAACAUCUCUCUUCUGUUUACUGCAUUUGUUCACUGUAGUUUCGUCUUUCGAAUGUCAUCUUCACUAACUGCCCGAAACUACAGUGUGUUAAAUUAUAAAGCGCAGUUUUAUCGUUGUGUGUCAUUAGACACAUCUGGGGAACAUUGUCGUAUCUAGUUCCUAAGAAAAUCGUUUGUUUGUCGACAGUUUCUACUUCAGAAACGUUGACUUGCUACGAUCAAAAUUGUGUUGUGUAAUUAUCUGUCCACGUAUUAUGUAAUUAGUUUUGUUUUAGUUAAUGUACUGUCUAAAAUUGAGCUAGCUACCGUUCUUUUUAACCAAUUGUGAUGUUGCGUUCGAGAGUUUUUCAUCUGUUUUCAUUCGGUUAAAUCUGUUUUCAUAGUGAGGGAAAAACAAUGUUGAAUAGUUAAGACGCUUCCUACAGGUUUUUCUAAAUCGUUGAAGAGACACGGUAGCUGGUGUUAUAUGUUAAUUAUUGUUAUUAAAGUUUCGUUGCAUGAUCAUGUUUGGAUUUGAUCAGUACUUUAGGGUCAAUAGUGGUUGUUAGUUCGUAUUUCGGUUUAAAGAUUGUCUGCAGAUCUGCGGUAUAUUGAUAAUUAAUGAUUCUCUUAGUAUAAACAAUGAGAAAAAAUCUUAAUUUGCUUCUGCACUUUUGAUUAUUUCUCAUUCAUCUGUUAGCAAAUGUUGUGUAAUUUUUCUUGUCCGAACCAAUAAAAUAUUUGUUGUUA